This 216-nucleotide ribosomal RNA is filed under the name Limosilactobacillus mucosae. Its description in RNAcentral is "Lactobacillus mucosae 16S rRNA. Bacterial SSU". It matches the Rfam family "Bacterial small subunit ribosomal RNA", at positions 1 to 184 of the family's 1533-position model. Lineage: Bacteria; Bacillati; Bacillota; Bacilli; Lactobacillales; Lactobacillaceae. The record is from RNAcentral.
UUUUAUAUGAGAGUUUGAUCCUGGCUCAGGAUGAACGCCGGCGGUGUGCCUAAUACAUGCAAGUCGAACGCGUUGGCCCAACUGAUUGAACGUGCUUGCACGGACUUGACGUUGGUUUACCAGCGAGUGGCGGACGGGUGAGUAACACGUAGGUAACCUGCCCCAAAGCGGGGGAUAACAUUUGGAAACAGAUGCUAAUACCGCAUAACAAUUUGA